Brassica oleracea var. oleracea is the source of this 629-nucleotide long non-coding RNA. RefSeq lists it as uncharacterized. The record is from RefSeq and is a predicted model, not a curated record. NCBI's taxonomy places the organism in Eukaryota, Viridiplantae, Streptophyta, Magnoliopsida, Brassicales, Brassicaceae. The transcript has 4 exons.
CAUAACAAACCAACUCAUAUAUAUUAUAUACUCUAUAGAUCCCAUCGUCUCUCAUUUUUCCACAACCAGAAACGACAUCCCUGGGCACUUGACACGUUCGAAAGAAUCAUAGAAGCUUCAAGAGGAAAAUAAAUCGUUAUGUGUCUCUGAUCCAGACAGAGCUUUCAUAUCCAGCAAGGUUCUUUAGGAUCCAACAUCUCCAACCUUUACUGUUUUCUCUUCUGUAACUAAUGUUAUGUGUUUCGCAGAUGAGAAGAAGUGAAAAAAACUAGCCAAGUAUUUUCCUAUUUCUAUAGUUACUGGUAGAUGCAUAGACAAUGUUUAUAGUUUUGUGAAGCUAGCAGAACUGUAUUAUGCUGGAAGCCAUGGGAUGGAUAUUAAAGGUCCAACAAAAGGAUAAACCAUCUGUUCUUAAUCAACCAGCUGGCGGCUCUCUUCCCAUGAUCGAUGAGGUUAUUAAACAAUUAGUGGAGAAAACCAAAUCAACACCAGGAGCCAAAUUGGAGAACAACAAGUUCUGUCUUUCUGUACACUUCCAUUGCGUCGAUGAAAAAGUAAAAAUUUACUUCAUAGUUACAAAAAGUUCCAAGUUAUGUAUAUUAUAAAGCUAGAGUAUCUCUCUAGAAGUU